RNAcentral lists this ribosomal RNA (253 nucleotides) under uncultured bacterium. RNAcentral describes it as "partial 16S ribosomal RNA". It matches the Rfam family "Bacterial small subunit ribosomal RNA", at positions 524 to 776 of the family's 1533-position model. The record is from RNAcentral.
UACAGAGGUGGCAAGCGUUGUUCGGAAUUACUGGGCGUAAAGGGCGCGUAGGCGGCCAUCUAAGUCAGACGUGAAAUCCCCCGGCUCAACCUGGGAACUGCGUCUGAUACUGGACGGCUUGAGUUUGGGAGAGGGAUGUAGAAUUCCAGGUGUAGCGGUGAAAUGCGUAGAUAUCUGGAGGAAUACCGGUGGCGAAGGCGGCAUCCUGGACCAAUACUGACGCUGAGGCGCGAAAGCGUGGGGAGCAAACAGG